This is a long non-coding RNA of Homo sapiens (human), 784 nucleotides long. RefSeq lists it as uncharacterized. The record is from RefSeq and is a predicted model, not a curated record. Lineage: Eukaryota; Metazoa; Chordata; Mammalia; Primates; Hominidae. The transcript has 3 exons.
GAAUCAACACAGAAGGAGGCCAGGCGCCGUGGCUCACCCCUGUAAUCCCAGCACUUUGGGAGGCCGAGGCGGGUGGAUCACGAGAUCAGGAGAUCAAGACCAUCCUGGCUAACACGAAUGACUUGGGAUAUAAAUAAACUAAAUAUAUCCUGUUUGAAUAAUAAGUGGAAGACAGCUUGAUGAAUUGGACAAGGAAGCCCUUGGAACAGGAUGUAAAAGCAGCACUUUCCAUCCAGCCUGACAUCCUGCUUCCAGAUGCAGAAGGCUGAGCAGGCCACCAGGAUCACAUUUAAAUGGCUGUGGCCAUGAUGUUCCAAUUUGAAACCUGGACUCCACCAACUUCCAUACUCAUCCCUUGCUCUCAGCCCUCUCCCUCCCCUGUCCAGGUCCUCAGGAUGAUCUGAGAAAUAUGUUACACUUUUCUUCCUCGCUAGAUGUCAACACGUUGGAAGGCAGGGACCUUGCCAUAUUAAUCCUUAGGGCCUUGGGUUCUGCUGUAGUAAAGACUCAAAAAAUGUUGGGUAAAAUUAAUUUUAAAAACAACUGGUGGCCGGGUGCGGUGGCUCACGCCUAUGAUCCCAGCACUUUGGGAGGCCAAGGCGGGUGGAUCACCUGAGGUCAGGAGUUCGAGACCAGCCUGGGCAACAUGGUGAAACCCUGUCUUUACUAAAAAUACAAAAAUUAGCCUGGCGUGGUGGCAGCGCCUGUAGUCCCAGCUACUUGGGAGGCUAAGACAGGAGAAUUGCUUGAACUUGGGAGGCAGAGGUUGCAGUGAACUGAGAUU